AAUCUAUUUUUCAUUGAUAUCUUUCUAUUUAAAAAUACUAGUGUCAAUAGGGUUACGGUCACGAUACCCAGACCACCUAUUUGAAUUAAUAAUAGUAUUACUAUUUCACCAAGUAUAUUAAACUGUGAUCCUAUAUCAACUGGGGAUAGGCCAGUAACUGUAAAUGCACUUGAAGCUAUAAAUAGGGCAUCUAAAAAAGAUAUUGGCUUUUUACCAGUGAAAGGUAAAUACAAUAAAAGUGCACCUAUGAUAGUUGUAGAGAAGAAAAGCAUUAAAUAAAAAUAUAAAGGUUUGUGGACUUUGUUCAUUUUAAUUUCAUACUCCUUUAUAUUAUAAAUUAAUAAUUAGAU
Molecule: small RNA, 350 nt
Filed under: Staphylococcus aureus
Lineage: Bacteria; Bacillati; Bacillota; Bacilli; Caryophanales; Staphylococcaceae
Description: HMPRFS0000_2216
Source: RNAcentral